AGUCCUUUUCAUCAGGAAUGCUUGGAAGCCCUCCAUUUUAUCGAAGGUCUGUUUUCUCCUCCUGUAGGAUUAUACUCCAUUUUGCUAGGCCCAUGUGAUACCAGGACAAAAAUGAGAUGGUCCUUGCCUCCAGUGAGCUUCCAUUCUACUGAGAGGCUACAACAGGGACGCCAAAAAGUCUGUUAAAAGGAAAGAGAGAGAACAUGAACAUCGGCUAAAUCAAUCAAAGACGUAGACCCAGAGCUUGCACCAGUUUGGGCUCUGAUGGAAGAUAAGGGUUAUGAGCUGCUCCAGUGAAAGGGAAUCAUGUUGCAAGCAUGGGGAAUGUCUCGGACCAAUGCAUGGAGGUCAGAGAAAACUCAGGUAACAGAUAAAAUUGUGAAUGUACAUGUCCUUCUCCCCCACUGUGGAGCUCAUGAGGAGAUGGGAGAAGGACAGGGAAAAAGGCCUCUUGCAAAAAGUAAUUUGAGCCUAGUCCUAAAGGAAUUGAUGGAAGCCAAAGCUAUAUUAAGGUCACAUGAAGAGACACCUUCUGUUUGGUGUGGCACCCUACCUCUGUUGUGUGGCCAAAUA
Molecule: non-coding RNA, 573 nt
Organism: Phascolarctos cinereus (koala)
Lineage: Eukaryota; Metazoa; Chordata; Mammalia; Diprotodontia; Phascolarctidae
Source: RefSeq, a predicted model, not a curated record